UACUUAGGGCGCAAGCGUUAUCCGGAAUUAUUGGGCGUAAAGAGCUCGUAGGCGGUUUGUCGCGUCUGCCGUGAAAGUCCGGGGCUCAACUCCGGAUCUGCGGUGGGUACGGGCAGACUAGAGUGAUGUAGGGGAGACUGGAAUUCCUGGUGUAGCGGUGAAAUGCGCAGAUAUCAGGAGGAACACCGAUGGCGAAGGCAGGUCUCUGGGCAUUAACUGACGCUGAGGAGCGAAAGCAUGGGGAGCGAACAGG
This 253-nucleotide ribosomal RNA is filed under the name uncultured bacterium. Its description in RNAcentral is "partial 16S ribosomal RNA". It matches the Rfam family "Bacterial small subunit ribosomal RNA", at positions 524 to 776 of the family's 1533-position model. The record is from RNAcentral.